CGGGGUGUAGCGCAGUCUGGUAGCGUACUUGCAUGGGGUGCAAGUGGUCGUUGGUUCAAAUCCAAUCACCCCGA
This 74-nucleotide transfer RNA is filed under the name Coxiellaceae bacterium. RNAcentral describes it as "tRNA-Pro". It matches the Rfam family "tRNA". Rfam says of the family: Transfer RNA (tRNA) molecules are approximately 80 nucleotides in length. Their secondary structure includes four short double-helical elements and three loops (D, anti-codon, and T loops). Further hydrogen bonds mediate the characteristic L-shaped molecular structure. tRNAs have two regions of fundamental functional importance: the anti-codon, which is responsible for specific mRNA codon recognition, and the 3' end, to which the tRNAs corresponding amino acid is attached (by aminoacyl-tRNA synthetases). tRNAs cope with the degeneracy of the genetic code in two manners: having more than one tRNA (with a specific anti-codon) for a particular amino acid; and 'wobble' base-pairing, i.e. permitting non-standard base-pairing at the 3rd anti-codon position. The record is from RNAcentral. Lineage: Bacteria; Pseudomonadati; Pseudomonadota; Gammaproteobacteria; Legionellales; Coxiellaceae.